Molecule: ribosomal RNA, 679 nt
Filed under: Rhizopogon sp.
Lineage: Eukaryota; Fungi; Basidiomycota; Agaricomycetes; Boletales; Rhizopogonaceae
Description: LSU rRNA
Rfam family: Eukaryotic large subunit ribosomal RNA
Source: RNAcentral
AGCAUAUCAAUAAGCGGAGGAAAAGAAACUAACAAGGAUUCCCCUAGUAACUGCGAGUGAAGAGGGAAAAGCUCAAAUUUUGAAUCUGGCGGUCUUUUGGUCGUCCGAGUUGUAAUCUAGAGAAGCGUCUUCCGCGCUGGACCGUGUAUAAGUUUCCUGGAAUGGAACGUCGUAGAGGGUGAGAAUCCCGUCUUUGACACGGACUACCAGGGCUAUGUGAUGCGCUCUCGACGAGUCGAGUUGUUUGGGAAUGCAGCUCAAAUAGGGUGGUAAAUUCCAUCUAAAGCUAAAUAUAGGCGAGAGACCGAUAGCGAACAAGUACCGUGAGGGAAAGAUGAAAAGAACUUUGGAAAGAGAGUUAAACAGUACGUGAAAUUGCUGAAAGGGAAACGCUUGAUGUCAGUCGCGUCGGCCGGGGAUCAGCCUUGCUUAACCGCUCGGCGUACUUCCUGGCAGACGGGUCAGCAUCAGUUUCGACCGUCGGAAAAUGGCUUGGGGAAUGUGGCACUCUUUCGGGAGUGUGUUAUAGACUCGAGUCGAAUGCGAUGGUUGGGACUGAGGAACUCAGCACGACCUUAGGGUUCGGGACUUUGGUCCACGUUUGCGUGCUUAGGAUGCUGGCAUAAUGGCCUUAAGCGACCCGUCUUGAAACACGGACCAAGGAGUCUAACAUGCAUGC